Molecule: small nuclear RNA, 109 nt
Organism: Tupaia belangeri (northern tree shrew)
Lineage: Eukaryota; Metazoa; Chordata; Mammalia; Scandentia; Tupaiidae
Source: Ensembl
AUGCUCGCUUCAGCAGCACAUAAACUAAAGUUGGAAAGAUACAGAGAAGAUAAGUAUGACCCCUGUGCAAGAAUGACGUCAGAUUUGUUAAUUAAGGGGAAAAACAUUU